AACGAACGCUGGCGGCAGGCCUAACACAUGCAAGUCGAACGCCGUAGCAAUACGGAGUGGCAGACGGGUGAGUAACGCGUGGGAACAUACCCUCCGGUUCGGAAUAACUCAGGGAAACUUGAGCUAAUACCGGAUACGUCCAAGGUUUUAAUCGGCCUUGGAGAAAGAUUUAUCGCUGGAGGAUUGGCCCGCGUCUGAUUAGCCUGUUGGUGAGGUAAUGGCUCACCAAGGCGACGAUCAGUAGCUGGUCUGAGAGGAUGAUCAGCCACAUUGGGACUGAGACACGGCCCAAACUCCUACGGGAGGCAGCAGUGGGGAAUAUUGGACAAUGGGCGAAAGCCUGAUCCAGCCAUGCCGCGUGAGUGAUGAAGGCCUUAGGGUUGUAAAGCUCUUUUACCCGGGAAGAUAAUGACGGUACCGGGAGAAUAAGCCCCGGCUAACUUCGUGCCAGCCGCCGCGGU
Molecule: ribosomal RNA, 461 nt
Filed under: uncultured bacterium
Lineage: Bacteria
Description: bacterial SSU rRNA
Rfam family: Bacterial small subunit ribosomal RNA
Source: RNAcentral